Long non-coding RNA from Pezoporus occidentalis (night parrot), 928 nucleotides. RefSeq lists it as uncharacterized. The record is from RefSeq and is a predicted model, not a curated record. Lineage: Eukaryota; Metazoa; Chordata; Aves; Psittaciformes; Psittacidae. The transcript is spliced from 2 exons.
GGGGGCGGCUGUCCCGGGCUGCCCUGGCGCUGCCGCCGCGGGGCCCCCGCUACGGAGCGGCCCGCCGCUGGGCCGGGGUGUCCCGAGCGGGCCUGGGGCCUCCCCCGGCCUUGUCUGGGGGCCAGGGCUGGUGAGAUGGGGCGCGGCAGGGCGGCGGUGCCGGUCCUGCCUCCUCCCCAGGCCCCAGAGCCCGACCUGAGCUGGCGAGGAGAGCGGUGCAAGCAGCGCCGCUUAACUGCCCUUCGUUCAUCUGUUGCAAGCUACCGGGGGAUUUGUGUAAGACGUGCAUUCUGAGGAAAGCACCAUGUUGUGAAAAUCCACUCUGAGAUUUGGAAAGGAAUCAUUUCCUUCAGCUCCUUUGCACCCCAUCCUUGCGUCGCUUCCUCUCUUCAUCCUUAAGAUAUUUGUCUAAUAACUCCUCUAGUUAAACAGACAGAUCUCGCAUUCACAUCCAUGUUGUCUUGCUACAGUUUUUAGACAAGCCUUUUUCGUUAGUCGUUAGGAAGCACUCAGUACAAAACCAAGUGACUGUUCCAUUAAUGAAGGUAUACAAAAGAAAGAGUUAAUAAGCACACCCACUUUUCAUAGCUUCAUCUCCACCAAGCUCAGUGAUACCAUCCUCCAUAUACCCUGUGACUCCCUGCUUCAGGUGCUCAUCUGCCACUGGUACCUGCUUCACUUUGGUUGCCAGCAGUCUAUGCAGGCAGGUCAUGAGAUCAUAUUAUAGUCUUUAUUCUGAGUAAGCCCAUUAAUUUGGGUCUGUCUAGUCUGCGGUCUCUUACAACUGUAAAUGUUUUAGACCUCUUUCAUUUGCAAUGUUAGGAUUAAGCUUUCAAAUGUUUGUAAUUUAUGUAACAGAGACAACAGCUUUUAUUGUGUAGCUUCAAUUUGUAAAGCACUAGAAUAAAAAGUACAGUAUCUAAAGCAA